UACGGAGGGGGUUAGCGUUGUUCGGAAUUACUGGGCGUAAAGCGCGCGUAGGCGGAUUGGAAGUUGGGGUGAAUCCAGGGCUCAACCCUGGAACUGCCUCCAAAACUCCCAGUCUUGAGUUCGAGAGAGGUGAGUGGAAUUCCGAGUGUAGAGGUGAAAUUCGUAGAUAUUCGGAGGAACACCAGUGGCGAAGGCGGCUCACUGGCUCGAUACUGACGCUGAGGUGCGAAAGUGUGGGGAGCAAACAGGAUUAGAUACCCCGGUAGUCC
Molecule: ribosomal RNA, 269 nt
Filed under: uncultured bacterium
Lineage: Bacteria
Description: partial 16S ribosomal RNA
Rfam family: Bacterial small subunit ribosomal RNA
Source: RNAcentral